UCUGAAUUCAUAUUUUAGUGUAUUUGUUUUGGGAAUGUUUUCUUUCCCUUCACAAUGAAGGGAUUCUUUAAAAAGAAUUAUAUGCAAAAAUUAGCUGAGUGGUUUGCCAUCGUUUACAAUGAAAAUUUACAUGCAGUGGCAGUAAUCCAAAAUGUUACAUUUACCUUAUCAUAUGAUUCCCGUUACUUCAGAGAAACCUUAGAGACUAAAUCUCACCAACAAUUAAAAGGUCCUGAUAUUCUAAUCAGAGCCUGAACAUUACAAUAACAUUUGUUAUUAGAUCAGAAUUACAAAACCACAAACAGAGUAAGAAAAAAGAUUCAUGAUUUUAAUCUUUGUGACCCUUGCUGUAACAAUAUUAUUACCACAUAGCAGUAGUUUCUCAAGAGAAAUUUCUCACCAUAUCAGUGAGGUGAUAAUUGCAGCUAUUUUCCUGGUAUGGGUUAAUUUCAUGGAAAUAAGUCCCAACGAUGAAUGAUCAUGUUUAAAUAAGAAAAAUGCUGACGAGCUGUGUCUUAAUUGUACACAUUCUUCUUGGGAAAUUUUUAACCAAGAAAUGAGCAUAUAAGCAUUAAAGGAAUAUUUAAAGAAACUAUAGAUUUGAGAAAGUUUGUUUUAGAAGAGCAGUUCUAGAUAUUAACAGCUGGGCACAGUGAAAUCUAAGUUUCCCAACACAAGUGUCAGAAAAGAUCCACUUAUCCUAUCUUACUUGCAAUUUCCAGUUCCCUAAUAAAAGAGCUUUCUUUUACAUUAAUUUUUAGUGUAUAAAUAAACUUUUAUAAAUUAGUAAGAGAAAGCUCCACAACCCCACAGAGGACAUGAAUAAGCAGUUCACAGAAAAAGAAACACAAAUGGCUUUUAAAAAUGGAAAAUGCUUAAACCAGGCAAUUGUUAACUCAGAAAAAAUAAAAAGUUGUAUAAGGAAUGCAAUCUGAUUCCCAACUUGGCUCAGCAACAAAUAAUAUUUAUGUGAUAUUAAUACCCUAAGUGCUGAACUUAAUAUACCUAUCACUGGCUUUCUGAACAAAAUGGACUUGAGAUGUUCCAGCACAAACCUUUUCAUCUCACCUUUUCAGCUCCAUGGAUGAAACAGCAAUCUUUGUAGCUUUUCUGAGUACUCUUGGGUUAUUAAUGAAUAGUCUCUUUUUCCCCCAAGGUAACCCAAAGUCCAAUUUAGUCUAAUAUCAGCAUACCAAGCUCUUAUCCAAUGUAUAGCUUUCUCCUGCGGCUUGGGCCUGACACAGGCUUGAAGUUUGCAGUGGGCAAGAAGAGUGAGCAGAGCAGCCAAAUAAAAUAUAGGAUGCUCAGUUAAACCUGAAUUCAAGAAAGCAACAAGUACUUUUAAUACAAUUAUGUCCCAAAUAUGGCAUGGGAUAUACUUAUACUCAAAAAGCAUUUAUUGUGUAUCUAAAAUUCAAAUUAAACUAGGCAUCGAGUUAUUUUUAUGUGCUAAAUCUGGCAACCCUCAGUUCAGGGCCAAUGUCACUAUGUCCCAUCUUGCUCACUGUGUUGCCUCUGGCUCCUCUAGGGUUAGAGGCAGACAUGAAAAAGAUAGCCGUGAGGAGAAGGAGAGCUCUUGGCCUGCAUGGUUGUCAUCUGCCUGUGUGCCCUCUUGGUGUAUCAGCUGUCCAAGGAGUACUCAGGCUACCACAAGCGCCCUAGAAAAGAGCUCCUUCAGGACUAGGGAGCAAGACCAGGCUUCAACCAAGGCAAAGACUAACAAUUAAAUGAGAAAGCAAGUGGAAGGGCCGAUCCAGAUCCAGGAAUACACAGAAGCUGGAGGUUCAAGGAGAGCGGAGACCUAGAGCCUAUUUGCUAAGCUCAGUCACUGGAUUACUGAAGUCAAAUCCUGCUCAGUUUCAAGAAUGCCAAGCUGGAGCCACACACCAGGGUUGAGGCCAGCGCCCCAGGCUGGGGUGAGGCCCUGGAAGUAGCUAGCAGGCUGGAGCCAGAGUACCCACACAGUUGGACAAGGCUAUGCUAAUGAUGCUGUGAUUGUGGAUGAAAUCUUCAUGUGCACCAGUGGGUUUUCGUAUUUUAAGCCAAGGAUAAAUGCUGCCUAUGCAGAUCACAGACUGAUAGCUGUUGCUAGAUCAGCACUAAAUAGUCUUUCCUACAAUUAAAAUAAUAUCUCAAAGCACAUGUCUUGAUAGUACGUGGGUAGUGGUGCCUUCAUCUGUGAAAGACUGUUUUGUAUAAUAAAGUUGUUUUUAAUAGAUGAGUCAGGUAAUUUUUUAUUGAGCUUGCUUCAAAAUUGUUUGGUCAUUUUCUGUAUAAUAAAUAAGCUUUACCGUAUGCUUUUUUGGAAGUCUUUCUGUCCAUCACUCUCCAUUAAAAAUACAUCACAAAAUGAAUAGAACUGGACAUCAUAUCUGUGUUUUGCUUCCACUUAAGUUAUCUUUUUGUUUUUAAUAAGACAGGGUCUUCGAAAAAUUUAUAUUUCAUUUUUAUUGGU
Chlorocebus sabaeus (green monkey) is the source of this 2455-nucleotide long non-coding RNA. RefSeq lists it as uncharacterized. The record is from RefSeq and is a predicted model, not a curated record. Lineage: Eukaryota; Metazoa; Chordata; Mammalia; Primates; Cercopithecidae.